RNAcentral lists this ribosomal RNA (762 nucleotides) under Staphylococcus aureus. RNAcentral's name for it is "bacterial SSU rRNA". It matches the Rfam family "Bacterial small subunit ribosomal RNA", at positions 82 to 831 of the family's 1533-position model. Lineage: Bacteria; Bacillati; Bacillota; Bacilli; Caryophanales; Staphylococcaceae. The record is from RNAcentral.
UUCUCUGAUGUUAGCGGCGGACGGGUGAGUAACACGUGGAUAACCUACCUAUAAGACUGGGAUAACUUCGGGAAACCGGAGCUAAUACCGGAUAAUAUUUUGAACCGCAUGGUUCAAAAGUGAAAGACGGUCUUGCUGUCACUUAUAGAUGGAUCCGCGCUGCAUUAGCUAGUUGGUAAGGUAACGGCUUACCAAGGCAACGAUGCAUAGCCGACCUGAGAGGGUGAUCGGCCACACUGGAACUGAGACACGGUCCAGACUCCUACGGGAGGCAGCAGUAGGGAAUCUUCCGCAAUGGGCGAAAGCCUGACGGAGCAACGCCGCGUGAGUGAUGAAGGUCUUCGGAUCGUAAAACUCUGUUAUUAGGGAAGAACAUAUGUGUAAGUAACUGUGCACAUCUUGACGGUACCUAAUCAGAAAGCCACGGCUAACUACGUGCCAGCAGCCGCGGUAAUACGUAGGUGGCAAGCGUUAUCCGGAAUUAUUGGGCGUAAAGCGCGCGUAGGCGGUUUUUUAAGUCUGAUGUGAAAGCCCACGGCUCAACCGUGGAGGGUCAUUGGAAACUGGAAAACUUGAGUGCAGAAGAGGAAAGUGGAAUUCCAUGUGUAGCGGUGAAAUGCGCAGAGAUAUGGAGGAACACCAGUGGCGAAGGCGACUUUCUGGUCUGUAACUGACGCUGAUGUGCGAAAGCGUGGGGAUCAAACAGGAUUAGAUACCCUGGUAGUCCACGCCGUAAACGAUGAGUGCUAAGUGUUAGGGGGU